ACUGUGACAGAUGUGACCUGGACUGAAUUAUGAGACACUGAAAUAGUUUAAAACAUUGAGAGCAGAAAGAGAGGAGGAAUUCAUAACGUUUCAUCUUAUAUCUUAUCAUUUUGGAUUCAGAAAAAGAGAAGAUGGAUGUCGGAAAGAUAGUAUCGAUUCUCCUGAUUCUGAUAGUGCCGCAUACAACAGUGGAAUCAACAACAACGGCCGCACCCACAACAACAGCCGCACCGACAACAACGGCCGCACCAACAACAACGGCCGC
Cyclopterus lumpus (lumpfish) is the source of this 265-nucleotide long non-coding RNA. RefSeq lists it as uncharacterized. The record is from RefSeq and is a predicted model, not a curated record. The transcript is spliced from 3 exons. NCBI's taxonomy places the organism in Eukaryota, Metazoa, Chordata, Actinopteri, Perciformes, Cyclopteridae.